RNAcentral lists this long non-coding RNA (2045 nucleotides) under Marmota monax (woodchuck). The record is from RNAcentral. Lineage: Eukaryota; Metazoa; Chordata; Mammalia; Rodentia; Sciuridae.
GUGCUGCCUGUCAGGUGAACAGCACAGCAGAUUCUCUGCCUGUAGGAGAAGAAGAUUCUAGCAGGUGAACAGGGUGUAGCUGAGGACUCUGGAACAUGUUCCUAGGUCUGGUUCAGGCCUGUGUUUGGGCCCCAUCAGAUGGACACAGCAGGAGCAGAAGGGAGAAGGAAGGGUCUUCAGGAGCCUAUGAUCAACCCACUUGAUGGAAGAGGAGGCUGAGUGACAGCUCAUCCUAUUGCACCUUCCUAGUGCCCAUCAAGUAUGUUCACCAGGACCAGGGGCAGAAUCAACAUGGAUUUGUGUCAAAACAAAACCAUUUCGAUGUAAAACUCAUAUGCACCCAGCCGGACUCUUCCUCCCCUGCACCCUUCUUAGCCCUUCCUCUAUUUCUUACCCAUGUCCCUCUUCAGUGCAGAGCCAGGUUCACCCCAGGGACACCUCAGGUCUAUACCUUUUACCAGUUUCAGUCACAGGUGGUGGAAAUAAAAAAGUGUUGGGAGUUCCAUGGGUAUAUCCAAGAAUAAUGAACAGAGUGUGGAAGAAUUAAAGAUAUAAAGUAGAGGUCACAUUCCACAAAACUCGCAUGGAUAUAAGAACCUGUGAGCCAAUUGUUGCUCAAAGGAAGCAAAAUAGUAUUACUAUUAGGGCCAUAGCUCUGAACGAGGAGGUAAAGGUUGCGUGGGUAGAGGUCAACUCUUGCUCAACACCUGCUGUGGCCAUCAUUGGCUGGGGAGUUCACACUGGUGGUGCGUGGUUUAUAUAGAAAGCUAUAUGAAAACUCUUUAUUUUUCUCAGAAAGAAUGUCAAAUUUCACAGAUCCUGCCAGGCACUCAGGUUGUCCUUGUCCACUUUUAGCCUCAAUGAGUCAUGAUACAUCCAGCAAGCCUCCAGGGGCCCAUUAACUCAAAGGUCAGUGAAACUCCUGUCCAAAUGGGCUUCUUCCACUAUCCUAGUCCACCCAGUGGGGUGGGAACAUGUUCCUGCCAGCUGAUCUUUCCCAGAAGAUAGACUUAGGGGUGACUCCAGAGAGAAUGGUCACUCAGGAGGGACAAUGCACACAAGAUAGAAAUGAUGUUGACCAAGAAGCAAAGCUGAGCUGGGAGCAUGAGCAGACAUACAGGAGCCCAAGGCCAUGUCUGUGACAUACACAGAGAUGGUCAGUACAGAAUCACAGGAGAGGAGGCCCCAUGAGGACUUGGCAUCCUGCUACUUUUGCCAUCCCUGAACUUAGCAAAUACCCACAGGAGAAACCCAGACUGCUGUUGAGGACUCAGCCAUAUCAGUCCACCUCACAGCUCAAGGCAACUCCCAAAGCUCAGUCAGGUCCUCUUCACUAGGGCAGCCCCUCUGCCAGGACCAUGCCAUAGUCCUGGGGUCAGUCACAUUCAAUAUAUUAAAGCAGGAUCAAAAAAUAAUAGUUGAAAGGCCUAAACUGUCUCAGGAUUUGUAGGUCUUAAUUUUGUUUCUUUCAUGGCUUCUGGUUGUUGUGACAAGUUUGAUUGUAAAGUGAUUAUUUUAUGGUUAUUUUCUUCUGUACUUAGUUCAGUGAUUUUGAUGGUCUGCUGAGGCCUGCUACAUCCUAAGUGAAAGUGGAAGUUCAUUUUUUAAACUGAAUAUAAUAUAUGAAUUCCAAAUUUGCUACUGAGUUUUAAACUUCUAGAUGUAGAUAUAUCUAGACACAUCUAGAUACUACACAGACACAGAUGGUUAAAAUAAUGAAAACCCUAAGGAAAUGAUGAUGGUCAAAGCCAAGCUCACCAUGACCAACAGUGGGUGACCCCAAAUUCCAGGCUAAGGGCAGGGCCUUUAUGCUUGUAACUCAAAUGUUUUAAAUGGUUAUCUACUAACUAUAGUGAUCCAGGAACAAGAUUCUUAUUAUAGACUGAUAGAAAUAAAAAGGUUUGUAUUAAACAAAUAAAUUAUCCUAAUUUCACUUACAAAAACAUACUGUGUUUGUGAAGGUUUCCACUUCCAACCAAAUAUAUCCCAUGAUGAAUACAAUAAAAACUAAAAUAUAUAAUUUUUUAGUGUAUCUUAAAGAAAAC